RNAcentral lists this unclassified non-coding RNA (150 nucleotides) under uncultured Helotiales. Its description in RNAcentral is "sequence contains ITS2". The record is from RNAcentral. Lineage: Eukaryota; Fungi; Ascomycota; Leotiomycetes; Helotiales.
CAACUCUCAAGCUCUGCUUGGUAUUGGGUGUCACUUUGCAAUUGUGGUGCACCUUAAAAUCAGUGGCAGUGCCAUUUUGGCCUCAAGCGUAGUAAAAUAUCUCGCUUUGGAGGUCUUGAUGUGCGUUUGCCAGCAACUAAUUUUUGACGG